AUGAUCCGGAAUGGCUUGGCUGUGGGUCACGAGCUUCAUCGACGUCGGAUCAAGCCAGGUGUCUUUUGUGCCGCUUGUGGAAGGGAGGAAACUGUUCUUCACAGAUUUUGGGCCUGCCCACACUCCUCCCAGUUCUGGCAGCGUGUGUCUUCAGAGAAGGGCGUCGCGGUGGCAGCCCCACCGCUUCCUAUGGACUCCCAGAAGGCACUUUUGAACUGGUUACCCAGGUGGUUUGUGGGCACAAAUGAUGAGGAGAAAGAAGUUAUGGUUCAUGCAACGUACGGGCUGUGGCUUGCCCGCAAUGACACCAGGGAUGGAAGAAGAAUUGCUCAUCCACAUGAGAUUGCUGAGGGGUCUACUCGCAUGAUGGAGCGGCGAAGCACUCAUGCAGGGGAGGUGCAGGUCCCGAAGCCCAGGUGUGUGCAGAAAUGGGAGCCGCCGGCUCCGGGAUGGGUGAAGGUGAACUCGGACGGUACUAUUUCAAGGCAAGGGAACAAGGGAGGAGGAGAAGCGGUGCUUCGAGACCACAAUGGCACUUUUAGGGCUGGAGUGAGUCAUUUUCUCCCAAACAUUACUGACCCUGAAGCUACAAAGAUUCUAGCAUGCAGGCGGGGUUUGCAGCUUGCAGUUGAACUUGGGGUUCAGCGAGUCCAUCUUGAGCUCCACAGCAAGGCUGUGGUGCAAAUGUUGAUGCUUCCUGAAAGGUGUUUGGCUGUUGUAGGGCCGUGGAUUCAAGAGAUUAAAGAGCUGCUCAGCUCGUGCGUGGAGUUUCGCAUGGACUGGGUUCGCCGUUCUGCCAACGUUGCCGCGCAUAAGUUCGCAAAGGUAGGAGUGGGUGCUGAGUUAUGUAAGGUGUGGUUUGGGGUCUCCCCUGACUUUGUUCUUUCUGUAAUCACUGAUGACAUUUCCAGCUUCGCUGGUUAA
Molecule: ribosomal RNA, 924 nt
Filed under: Triticum aestivum (bread wheat)
Lineage: Eukaryota; Viridiplantae; Streptophyta; Magnoliopsida; Poales; Poaceae
Description: partial small subunit ribosomal RNA
Source: RNAcentral